RNAcentral lists this ribosomal RNA (395 nucleotides) under uncultured soil bacterium. RNAcentral's name for it is "bacterial SSU rRNA". It matches the Rfam family "Bacterial small subunit ribosomal RNA", at positions 94 to 527 of the family's 1533-position model. The record is from RNAcentral.
CACGGCGCACGGGUGCGUAACACGUGGGCAAUCUGCCCUCCGAUGGGGAAUAACCCGCCGAAAGGCGGGCUAAUACCGCAUAACAUUCCCCUCGGCAAAGGCGCGUCGGAGGUGGAGCCCGCGCACGAUUAGCUAGUUGGUAGGGUAACGGCCUACCAAGGCUAUGAUCGUUAGCUGGUCUGAGAGGAUGGCCAGCCACACUGGAACUGAGACACGGUCCAGACUCCUACGGGAGGCAGCAGUGGGGAAUCUUGCGCAAUGGGCGAAAGCCUGACGCAGCGACGCCGCGUGGGGGAUGAAGCAUUUCGGUGUGUAAACCCCUUUCGACUGGGACGAAUGACGGUACCAGUAGAAGAAGCCCCGGCUAACUACGUGCCAGCAGCCGCGGUAAGACG